UACGUAGGCGGCUUACUAAGUCAGAUGUGAAAGCCCCGGGCUUAACCUGGGAACUGCAUUUGAUACUGGUAGGCUAGAGUAUGGUAGAGGGGGGUAGAAUUCAUAGUGUAGCGGUGAAAUGCGUAGAUAUUAUGAGGAAUACCAGUGGCGAAGGCGGCCCCCUGGACCAAUACUGACGCUGAGGUACGAAAGCGUGGGUAGCGAACA
RNAcentral lists this ribosomal RNA (207 nucleotides) under uncultured bacterium. Its description in RNAcentral is "partial 16S ribosomal RNA". It matches the Rfam family "Bacterial small subunit ribosomal RNA", at positions 568 to 774 of the family's 1533-position model. The record is from RNAcentral.